Molecule: long non-coding RNA, 421 nt
Organism: Rosa chinensis
Lineage: Eukaryota; Viridiplantae; Streptophyta; Magnoliopsida; Rosales; Rosaceae
Exons: 3
Source: RefSeq, a predicted model, not a curated record
UCCCCUAGUGUCUGCAGUAAUAGGUCAUAUGAUUGUAAUUAAAUCAAUAAUUUUGCUUCAAUAAUGAACUAAUGCACGAAUCCCUGUUUUGCAUUAAUCGGUAAGCAUUCUUGUACUGUGUGUGUAUGGAUGGGGCAGCUUUCGCAUAAGAGGAAGGUGACAGUUCAGGAGUUCAAGGGGAAACCAUUGGUGUCGUUGAGGGAGUUUUUUACUAAAGAAGGCAAGGAGCUCCCUACUUCUAAAGGUGGAGUAUUAUUUCAGUGAUCUGAACUUAGCUACUACUGAUCAUCUUAUGAGGUUCAUAAACAAAGACCCUGAAGGAUUUGUGCCAAUAUCUGUUGUUGCAUCUUUCAAGAAGAUUAAGGCCCUCGUAAGUAGUCAUUCCUAGCUUGCAACUGUAUUGCGGAACUCCUCAAAGCUU